UAUCAAGCUACUAACGGCUUAUGGUGGAUAGCUUGGUUGGUGCUGGCGAUGAAGGACGUGGCAAGCUGCGAUAAGCUGCGGUAAGAUGCAAGCAAUCUUUGACCCGCAGAUUUCCGAAUGGGAAAACCUUUGCGGGGUAAUACCUGCAAGUUCCGCCGUAAGGCGGGAAGCUAACCUGGGGAAGUAAAACAUUUCAGUACCCGGAGGAAAAGAAACCGAAUAGUAUUCCCCCAGUAGCGGCGAGCGAAAAGGGAAUAGCCUAAACCUGACAAGUGUCAAGCCUGCUGGCGUUGCUUGUUGGGGGUUGCGGAGCAUUGUCGGAGAGUGCAGCAGAACUUUCAAGAAGUUACAAAUCUAACCUGUAGCAGAAUCAGUUGAAAAACUGAGCCAAAGAAGGUGAUAGCCCUGUAAGUUAAAUGGGUUAGACUUCUGUGGCAAUGUUUCCAAGUACAACGGAGCACGAGAAACUCUGUUGGAAUCUGCCCUGACCACAGGGUAAGGCUAAAUACACGCACCAGACCGAUAGUGUACUAGUACCGUGAGGGAAAGCUGAAAAGAACCCCGGAAGGGGAGUGAAAUAGAACUUGAAACCAUAAGUUUACACAGCGGUCAGAGUCUCGCUUCGGCGGGACAAUGGCGUACCUUUUGCAUAAUGGUCCAGGGAGUUAUUUGUUUAUCGCAAGUCUAAUUCCGACGUUCGGAAGGAGGCGUAGCGAAAGCGAGUCCGAAUAGGGCGCCUUAGCGGUAGGCAAUAGACCCGAAGCCAGUCGAUCUACCCAUGACCAGAGCGAACCCCGACGAAAGUCGGGGGGAGGUUCGAACCAGUGACAGUUGAAAAUGUCUUGGAUGAGUUGUGGGUCGGAGUGAAAGGCUAAUCAAGGCUGGUGAUAGCUGGUUCUCCCCGAAAUGCCUUUAGGGGCAGCCUUUAGGUAAGGGCUAUGGAAGGUAGAGUACAGGAUGGGCUAGGGUGGAGUUUCUCCAUACCAAACCCAAUCUAACUCCGAAUUGCUAUAGUCUAUACUAAGGAGUGAGACUGUGCGGGCUAAGCUGCAUAGUCAAAAGGGAAACAGCCCAGACCGUCAGUUAAGGUCCUUAAAAGCAGGCUAAGUGGAAAAGGAUGUGGAGCUGCUAAGACAGCCGGGAUGUUGGCUUAGAGGCAGCCAUCAUUUAAAGAGUGCGUAAUAGCUCACCGGUCGAGUGGUUCUGCGCCGAAAAUGAUCGGGGCUCAAGCCUGUUACCGAAACUACGGAUUUAUUCCCCGCCAUAGGCGGGGGAUAAGUGGUAGGGGAGCAUUCUGUAGGCAGUGAAGGUCUCGUUGUAAGACAGGCUGGAGCGUACAGAAGAGAUUAUCUUGGAAUGAGUAGCGAAAAGACCGGUGAAAAACCGGUCCGCCGAAAGCCUCAGGUUUCUCCGUCAAUGUUCGUCAGACGGAGGUUAGGCGGUCCCUAAGCUGUACCUCGAUAUUUCGAGGGUAGGUAAUGGGGAAGGGCGUUAAUAUUCGCCCCCCAUCUAUAGACGUUAAUCUAAAGAGUGACGCAUAAGGUGCGGUGGUCGGACUGUUGGAUGUGUCCGUUUUUCCGACGUAAGUCGGGAAGGGAGCCCAAGCUACGGCGCGGGUAAACCCACCAGGACCAAGUGCCAAGAAAUAGCUUUUUAGAUUGUUUAUUGAUGACCGUACCGCAAUCCGACACAGGUAGGCUACCAUCAAAUGGUAAGGCGCUCGGGAGAUUUCUCGUUAAGGAACUCGGCAAUCUAGCCCCGUACGUUAGCAAGAAGGGGUGCCCCCGAUUUAUCGGGGGUCGCAGUGAAAUGGCUGCUGGGACUGUUUAGCAAAAACACAGGUCCCUGCUUAACUCGCAAGAGGAUGUAUAGGGACUGAGACCUGCCCAAUGCCGGAAGGUUAAGGGAAGAGGUUAGGCCGGCGUAAGUCGGUUGAAGCUUUGAACCGAAGCCCCGGUGAAUGGCGGCCGUAACUAUAACGGUUAAAAGUCUAAGCAUAAUAAGUAAUUAUGCUGCUACCUGACUGUGGCCGUUGUAAAAUUUGGCUAUAUGCUGGAACAUCUGGUUAGAUUUCAUGCUACCGAGGAGGUGACAAAGUAUGAAUGCAGAUAAUCAGCAGGAAAGACUGCAGAUUACAGAAGAGUUCAAGUGGUUUCUUGCGGGCCUAAUUGAGGGAGAGGGAAGUUUAUGCAUCUCCUUUAAGCAACAUCCUACUGCCAAGUUUGGUUAUUACAUCGAUCCAGAAUUUUUUAUUUAUCAACACAAGUCAGCGCGUGAACUUCUGGAACGAGCAAAAGACUUUUUUGGCACAGGAAGCAUUGUACCUAAACCAGGGAAUGAGGACGUUUUAGUUUACAAGAUUGCAUCACGAAGAAGUAUCGUAGAGAAAGUAAUUCCUUUCUUCGAAAAAUAUAUGCGAUACUCCUCAGCAAUAAAGCGUCGCAAUUUCCUGAUGUUUAAGGAAGCAACAUUGGCUUUAGAGAAUAAGGCGCACAAAACACUUGAAGGUACUUUGCGUUUAGUUGAAUUAGCAUAUUCAACGAAUCACGCAGGUAAACAACGUAAGCGAACAAAAGAAGAAGUAAUUAGCAGAAUCCUCAGAGACUAUACGCCGAAUCCCGAUGUUGAGUCGGGAAAGAUAUAGUCCGAUCUUUGUGGCGACACAAAGCUAACAAAAAUGCCUAAGGUAGCGAAAUUCCUAGUCGGGUAAGUUCCGACCCGCACGAAUGGUAUAACCAUAGCAGCGCUGUCUCAACGAGGAGCCCGGUGAAGUUGUAGUGGCGGUGAAGAUGCCGUCUACCCGCACUCGGACGAAAAGACCCCGGAACCUUUACUGUACGCUGGUAUUGGAUUUUGGUGUAGUAUGUGUAGCAUAGGUGGGAGGCUUUGAAGUUCUGGCGCUAGCUAGAAUGGAGCCAUCAGUGAAAUACCACUCUUACUUUAUUAAGGUUCUAACCCCAUUUAAUUGGGGGACAGUUCCAGCCGGGCAGUUUAACUGGGGCGGUUCCUUCCUAAAAGAUAACGGAAGGGUCUAAAGGUACCUUCAGUCCGUUUGGAAAUCGGACGUUGAGUAUAAGAGCAUAUGGGUGCCUGACUGUGAGGCUGACAGGCCGAGCAGACGCGAAAGCGGGGUCUAAUGAUCCGGUGGUUGCUUGUGGAAGCGCCAUCGCUCAACGGAUAAAAGGUACUCCGGGGAUAACAGGCUAAUCGGGUCCGAGAGUUCACAUCGACGACCCGGUUUGGCACCUCGAUGUCGGCUCAUCCCAUCCUGGGGCUGGAGAAGGUCCCAAGGGUCCGGCUGUUCGCCGGUUAAAGGGGUACGUGAGCUGGGUUCAGAACGUCGUAAGACAGUGAAAAUGACCGUUUGCUGUCUCUAAAAUUGGUCCGAUACCAACUUUUAUUGGAUCGGACUCCGACAUUUCCGUAAGGAAAUUGUCGGAGCUAUAUGCUGGAAAGUCCGGAGAAUUACUCACUACUUGAUAAAAAGAUAAGUAGAGAUAUAAUGUCUCUAUGGUGUCAAGUGAAAAUGUGCAGUAUGCGGACAAUCAGCAGGUAAGCAGGGAAAAGAGAAUUUCCGACGAGUACUUUGCGGGUUUUGUUGAUGGUGAAGGAUGUUUCUAUGUGGGGUUCAGUAAGCGCAAAGAUUUGCCUUUAAAAUGGCAAAUUAUUACUGAAUUUCACUUAAGUCAAAAUCCAGGUGGGAAGAAUAUUCUUGAAGCAUUCAAGAAUAGAUUGGGUUGCGGAUACCUAAAACCCAAUCACCUCAAAAAUCCUAAAGAUAGGACAUGGGUUUUGAUUGUGAAAAAUAGAAAGGAUCUAUGCGAAAAGCUAAUUCCUUUCUUCAAGAAACACCCGCUUCGUUCUGACAAAAAUAUUGAUUUUCAAAUUUUUGUUAGAGUGCUCGAUAUUAUAAAUAAAAGAGAGCACUUGAAGCGUGCAGGUUUCAAUCGAGUUGUGAAAUUAGUUUUUAAUUCACCAAAGACAGGACUUAAAAAGUAUUCGAAAGAUAUUCUUCUAAAACCUUGAAACCUCAGAGACUAUACGCCAAUGGCCCCGAUAUUGUGUCGGGGUUAAGAUAUAGUCCGAGCUGCAUAGCGAUAUGCAGAGAUUUCCGCCUAAGGCGGAUCCGCCCAUAUCAGUAAUAUGAUGUGGCGGAAGCAGAAAUGGCUAAUCCUUCCGUUCGUAAGAACGGGAAGUAACAAAACUGUCGGUCUCUAUCCAGUGUGGGUGUAAGGAUUCUUGAAGAGGUACUGUCCCUAGUACGAGAGGACCGGGACAGAGGAGCCUCUGGCGUGCCAGCUAUCCUGCCAAGGGUAAAGGCUGGGUAACUAUGCUCCUACGAGAUAAGCGCUGAAUGCAUCUAAGUGCGAAGCUCACCUUGAAACUAAGAAUCCCUUCUCGGCGUUAGUCGAGAUGAAGGCUCGUAGUAGACUACUACGUUGAUAGGGUGCAGGUGUAAGCACGGUAACGUGUUCAGCCGAGCACUACUAAUAAGCCAAUCGGCUUGAUACU
Molecule: ribosomal RNA, 4512 nt
Filed under: Candidatus Omnitrophota bacterium
Lineage: Bacteria; Pseudomonadati; Candidatus Omnitrophota
Description: 23S ribosomal RNA
Rfam family: Bacterial large subunit ribosomal RNA (bases 1-3484)
Source: RNAcentral